RNAcentral lists this ribosomal RNA (423 nucleotides) under Pseudopaludicola boliviana group sp. ABGD cluster 13. Its description in RNAcentral is "partial large subunit ribosomal RNA". It matches the Rfam family "Bacterial large subunit ribosomal RNA", at positions 1834 to 2457 of the family's 2925-position model. The record is from RNAcentral. Lineage: Eukaryota; Metazoa; Chordata; Amphibia; Anura; Leptodactylidae.
CUUGAAUAAUUAUAAGAGGUCCAGCCUGCCCAGUGACUUUGUUCAACGGCCGCGGUAUCCUAACCGUGCGAAGGUAGCGUAAUCACUUGUUCUUUAAAUAAGGACUUGUAUGAAUGGCAUCACGAAGGUUAUACUGUCUCCUUUUUCUAAUCAGUGAAACUAAUCUUCCCGUGAAGAAGCGGGAAUUAAAAUAUAAGACGAGAAGACCCUAUGGAGCUUUAAACUAAGUAACAUUUACUUCAAUUUAUAUAAACUUAAGAGCUACAAAGAAUAUCCAAAUAAAAUGAUUACUAGUUUUAGGUUGGGGUGACCUUGGAGUAAAACAUAACCUCCACGUCGAAAAAUGUAACAAUUUUAGCCAAGAGUGACAACUCUAAGCAUCAAGACCUUGACGUCAAUUGACCCAAUAUUUGAUCAACGAAC